RNAcentral lists this transfer RNA (73 nucleotides) under Stegodyphus mimosarum. It matches the Rfam family "tRNA". From Rfam's summary of the family: Transfer RNA (tRNA) molecules are approximately 80 nucleotides in length. Their secondary structure includes four short double-helical elements and three loops (D, anti-codon, and T loops). Lineage: Eukaryota; Metazoa; Arthropoda; Arachnida; Araneae; Eresidae. The record is from Rfam by way of RNAcentral.
GCCUUCAUGGUGUAGUGGUCAGCACGCUCGACGUGUAUUCGAGAGGUCCGUGGUUCAAGUCCUGGCAAGGGCA